RNAcentral lists this transfer RNA (75 nucleotides) under Clostridiales bacterium. RNAcentral describes it as "tRNA-Gln". It matches the Rfam family "tRNA". From Rfam's summary of the family: Transfer RNA (tRNA) molecules are approximately 80 nucleotides in length. RNAcentral also lists the same sequence under 1 other name. The record is from RNAcentral. Lineage: Bacteria; Bacillati; Bacillota; Clostridia; Eubacteriales.
UGGGGUAUAGCCAAGCGGUAAGGCAACGGAUUCUGAUUCCGUCAUUCGAAGGUUCGAAUCCUUCUACCCUAGCCA